Molecule: unclassified non-coding RNA, 204 nt
Filed under: Hevea brasiliensis (rubber tree)
Lineage: Eukaryota; Viridiplantae; Streptophyta; Magnoliopsida; Malpighiales; Euphorbiaceae
Source: RNAcentral
CGUACAACAGAUAUUCAGUUGUUGCCAAAGUUGCUAGGGAUAUCCUUUCUAUUCUUAUUUCUAUUGUUGCAUCUGAGUCACUUUUAGUACAGGUGAUCGAAUUCUUGAUAGUUAUCGAAGUUCUUUUAUCUUCAAAUACGGUAAAAGCGCUUAUCUGCACUCAACAUUUGCUACGAUCGCCUUUUAAAGAGUGCAAGCUUGAAG